Molecule: ribosomal RNA, 2524 nt
Filed under: Campylobacter coli
Lineage: Bacteria; Pseudomonadati; Campylobacterota; Epsilonproteobacteria; Campylobacterales; Campylobacteraceae
Description: partial 23S ribosomal RNA
Rfam family: Bacterial large subunit ribosomal RNA
Source: RNAcentral
AAAAAAGGUAAGCUACUAAGAGCGAAUGGUGGAUGCCUUGACUGGUAAAGGCGAUGAAGGACGUACUAGACUGCGAUAAGCUACGGGGAGCUGUCAAGAAGCUUUGAUCCGUAGAUUUCCGAAUGGGGCAACCCAAUGUAUAGAGAUAUACAUUACCUAUAUAGGAGCGAACGAGGGGAAUUGAAACAUCUUAGUACCCUCAGGAAAAGAAAUCAAUAGAGAUUGCGUCAGUAGCGGCGAGCGAAAGCGCAAGAGGGCAAACCCAGUGCUUGCACUGGGGGUUGUAGGACUGCAAUGUGCAAGAGGUGAGUUUAGCAGAACAUUCUGGAAAGUAUAGCCAUAGAGGGUGAUAGUCCCGUAUGCGAAAAACAAACCUUAGCUAGCAGUAUCCUGAGUAGGGCGGGACACGAGAAAUCCUGUCUGAAGCUGGGUCGACCACGAUCCAACCCUAAAUACUAAUACCAGAUCGAUAGUGCACAAGUACCGUGAGGGAAAGGUGAAAAGAACUGAGGUGAUCAGAGUGAAAUAGAACCUGAAACCAUUUGCUUACAAUCAUUCAGAGCCCUAUGUAGCAAUACAGGGUGAUGGACUGCCUUUUGCAUAAUGAGCCUGCGAGUUGUGGUGUCUGGCAAGGUUAAGCAAACGCGAAGCCGUAGCGAAAGCGAGUCUGAAUAGGGCGCUUAGUCAGAUGCUGCAGACCCGAAACGAAGUGAUCUAUCCAUGAGCAAGUUGAAGCUAGUGUAAGAACUAGUGGAGGACUGAACCCAUAGGCGUUGAAAAGCCCCGGGAUGACUUGUGGAUAGGGGUGAAAGGCCAAUCAAACUUCGUGAUAGCUGGUUCUCUCCGAAAUAUAUUUAGGUAUAGCGUUGUGUCGUAAUAUAAGGGGGUAGAGCACUGAAUGGGCUAGGGCAUACACCAAUGUACCAAACCCUAUCAAACUCCGAAUACCUUAUAUGUAAUCACAGCAGUCAGGCGGCGAGUGAUAAAAUCCGUCGUCAAGAGGGAAACAACCCAGACUACCAGCUAAGGUCCCUAAAUCUUACUUAAGUGGAAAACGAUGUGAAGUUACUUAAACAACCAGGAGGUUGGCUUAGAAGCAGCCAUCCUUUAAAGAAAGCGUAAUAGCUCACUGGUCUAGUGAUUUUGCGCGGAAAAUAUAACGGGGCUAAAGUAAGUACCGAAGCUGUAGACUUGCGCACAACUUAGAUUAUUUAAGUUUAGAAUAUGAGAAACUAAGUUAUAUGUUUAGUUAUAUUUUUACUGAUUUUUAUAGAGUAAAGAUAGAAAUAAAACUUAGUAAAAUCAGUAAAAAUAUUCUUAGACUAAAGUUAAGUAGUUUAAGUUGUGUGCAAGUGGUAGGAGAGCGUUCUAUUUGCGUCGAAGGUAUACCGGUAAGGAGUGCUGGAGCGAAUAGAAGUGAGCAUGCAGGCAUGAGUAGCGAUAAUUAAUGUGAGAAUCAUUAACGCCGUAAACCCAAGGUUUCCUACGCGAUGCUCGUCAUCGUAGGGUUAGUCGGGUCCUAAGUCGAGUCCGAAAGGGGUAGACGAUGGCAAAUUGGUUAAUAUUCCAAUACCAACAUUAGUGUGCGAUGGAAGGACGCUUAGGGCUAAGGGGGCUAGCGGAUGGAAGUGCUAGUCUAAGGUCGUAGGAGGUUAUACAGGCAAAUCCGUAUAACAAUACUCCGAGAACUGAAAGGCUUUUUGAAGUCUUCGGAUGGAUAGAAGAACCCCUGAUGCCGUCGAGCCAAGAAAAGUUUCUAAGUUUAGCUAAUGUUGCCCGUACCGUAAACCGACACAGGUGGGUGGGAUGAGUAUUCUAAGGCGCGUGGAAGAACUCUCUUUAAGGAACUCUGCAAAAUAGCACCGUAUCUUCGGUAUAAGGUGUGGUUCGCUUCGUAUUAGGAUUUACUCCGAAAGCGAAGAAACUUACAACAAAGAGUCCCUCCCGACUGUUUACCAAAAACACAGCACUCUGCUAACUCGUAAGAGGAUGUAUAGGGUGUGACGCCUGCCCGGUGCUCGAAGGUUAAUUGAUGGGGUUAGCAUUAGCGAAGCUCUUGAUCGAAGCCCGAGUAAACGGCGGCCGUAACUAUAACGGUCCUAAGGUAGCGAAAUUCCUUGUCGGUUAAAUACCGACCUGCAUGAAUGGCGUAACGAGAUGGGAGCUGUCUCAAAGAGGGAUCCAGUGAAAUUGUAGUGGAGGUGAAAAUUCCUCCUACCCGCGGCAAGACGGAAAGACCCCGUGGACCUUUACUACAGCUUGACACUGCUAUUUGGAUAAGAAUGUGCAGGAUAGGUGGGAGGCUUUGAGUAUAUGACGCCAGUUGUAUAUGAGCCAUUGUUGAGAUACCACUCUUUCUUAUUUGGGUAGCUAACCAGCUUGAGUUAUCCUCAAGUGGGACAAUGUCUGGUGGGUAGUUUGACUGGGGCGGUCGCCUCCCAAAUAAUAACGGAGGCUUACAAAGGUUGGCUCAGAACGGUUGGAAAUCGUUCGUAGAGUAUAAAGGUAUAAGCCAGCUUAACUG